Molecule: long non-coding RNA, 1315 nt
Organism: Coffea arabica (coffee)
Lineage: Eukaryota; Viridiplantae; Streptophyta; Magnoliopsida; Gentianales; Rubiaceae
Source: RefSeq, a predicted model, not a curated record
UUUUCCCUUAAACAGUUUCAUUUUUUCUUUUCAGUAUUUUCGCAUGCAUUUACAGUACUUAUUAUGAAUUGGUAAUGUUUCUUGUGGGUUUUGAAAUUCUUUAACUUUGGAUUUGAAGAAUACAAGAAGGAACAAAUUUAGGGUCAGGGCCAAAGAGGAAUAUUAGGCUAUUGAAAGCCAAUUACAUAAAGGAGUUUAAUUUUUUGGGUCGAGGUGAAGACCUUCUUGAUCUGAAGAAAUGUUUUAUUGAUCUUAAUAAUCUUCAAGCCAGAGAAGACUCUGUUAUUAGGCAAGCUGAGUUGGAGGCUUAAAGAUUUGGGAUUGAUGUUAUAGAUGAAACUCAGAGCAUUUUUUAUGCUCUGUUCAAAACGCUUCCAGUGCACUGGGACAAGACUACUAUAGUUGUGAUGAAUGAAGUGCGCUUUAGUAGCCCAAAUCUUCCCGAGCCCGUCGUUGGAGGAACUCCAGCUGCCAAUGAGCGAGUGCAGAAAGUGGCGAGACUGUCAACUGGGAUCCUUCUGAAUGUUGAACUCUGUUAAGUGAAAUGCAUAGUGUCAUCUCACCUCAUUACUAACUUUUUGAUCUUCUGUGUUUUUGCUAGCUUGAGUUUGAGAGAAAGAGAUUACAAACUCGCUAUGCUGGUCAAUGACUAUGUUGCUCUGUCAUGCAUUGAGGGUGAAUUGGUGCCGUCAUGUUCGGAUGACUAGGGGAAUGGCUCCUCAACUCUCUGAGCAUCAAGUUCUUUUUGGAUUGGUACCAAGUUUUGAUGGAGAAGUUUGCCUCAUGCAGUUGUAAGAUGUUAGAAGUUUAGGCAUUUAAGGAAUUUUGUUUUCAAUAAACCCUGAGAUUUGCUUUCUUUGUCACCACAUUACUUCCCAAUGCAUUCACUGCUGCAUGCUAUUAAUUUGAUAGAGGGCAUGGGUUAUAUGCAUCCAGACAGAAUUACACCAAGAUAAGCUCAUGCGCUGAUGCCUAUUAGAUUGUAAAAUGCAGUUUCUCAUUAUGUUCUGGGAUGAUCAAUGUAUAGCAGGAAAGCUAAACAAUAAACUUCCCAAUAGCUACCUUAGAGAAAGACAGAAAUAACAGUCUUUAGGUUGAAUAUGCUAUUAAUUUUUCACUUAUAGCACAUCAGAUCAGAGCUGGGUUGAUUGUUGAAGUCGAAAACUACUGUGCGUACACAUGUAUACGCAAAUGUAGUGAUAUGUCCUCAAUUUUGUGGUUAUAUUGACCACAUGGGCCUAUUUUGAAAGGUCUGGUUGGAAAGGGGGUCGUGGAAAGAGUUGGGUUUUAGGUUAGAGUAAUUUUUUCUCAAAUU